This 492-nucleotide ribosomal RNA is filed under the name uncultured bacterium. Its description in RNAcentral is "bacterial SSU rRNA". It matches the Rfam family "Bacterial small subunit ribosomal RNA", at positions 28 to 507 of the family's 1533-position model. The record is from RNAcentral.
GAUGAACGCUAGCUACAGGCCUAACACAUGCAAGUCGAGGGGUAACGACUGGGAAAGCUUGCUUUUCCAGGGCGACGACCGGCGCACGGGUGAGUAACGCGUAUCCAACCUGCCUGGAACCAAGGGAUAACCCGUAGAAAUGCGGCCUAAUACCUUAUGUUGUCCGAAGAAGGCAUCUGACUUGGACAAAAGAUCCGUCGGUUCCGGAUGGGGAUGCGUCUGAUUAGGUAGUAGGCGGGGCAACGGCCCACCUAGCCGACGAUCAGUAGGGGUUCUGAGAGGAAGGUCCCCCACAUUGGAACUGAGACACGGUCCAAACUCCUACGGGAGGCAGCAGUGAGGAAUAUUGGUCAAUGGGCGCGAGCCUGAACCAGCCAAGUAGCGUGCGGGAAGAAGGCCCUAUGGGUUGUAAACCGCUUUUACCGGGGGAUAAAGUGAGCGACGUGUCGCUCAUUGCAGGUACCCGGCGAAUAAGGACCGGCUAAUUCCGUG